Molecule: long non-coding RNA, 993 nt
Filed under: Equus caballus (horse)
Lineage: Eukaryota; Metazoa; Chordata; Mammalia; Perissodactyla; Equidae
Description: lncRNA (ENSECAG00000058714.1)
Source: RNAcentral
AGCAAAGGGAGCCCAGACUACUACCCAUGAUCCAUAAAAACUGGGAACAAAACAUACAGAAGAAAGCACACCAAAUGUUUACAUAAAAUUGUAGCGCACACUGGGUCUCCUGAAGGACAUCACUGAGUCUUUCUGCGUCCAGACUCCUUACCCUAAGGGUGGGGAUUUCAGAGAUGGAAUAUGAGGAAGAUAAGGCAACAGCAAUAGAUUGGAGAAGUUUCUUUAAAACGAAGGAUUUACAGUCUGUGUUCUUCAAACAACUGCCUCGAGACAGAGCACAGGCAGCGCCUAAUCGGUCAGCCAGCCACCAGUUAAUAAAGCUUCCUCUUUCUGUUCGUUUGCUGCCCAGAACAAUCUGAGAAGCUGAGGAAGCUUGAGAAAAUUCUUAAAGAUAAUCAAAGAGUAAUUACAAUCAUCUUUGUUUCACCGAAAGUUUAAUUAAGAACAGCUAUAGAGAAAACAUAUGUUUCUUAUCCUUCAGUUGUUUUGUAAUCAGCAACAAAAAUGAGAAAGUAGCAACUCAGAAAAUAAAGGAAGCAGGAACAUUUGAAAGAAAGCAAUCUGAGGUGCAGAGGAAAAUCUUUGGUGCAUAAGCUGGAACACAAAAGCAAAAAUGAUGAAAAUUGAACAAUGUUAACAUUUUUAGGGGCCUUCUUUUUUCAUGGUCCACGAUUAUUUUUUUGAAUGUAUAUUGCUAAUUCACUGCUUAUUUAAAUGAUCUGAUUUUGACUACAAUACUGGUGUUUGUUGGUGUUCUUUAUAAAUCAAGGAAAUUAAACUUUUUUUUCCUGCCAUAUGUAUUGCAAUUUUUUCCCAAAAAAAUGUCAGUUGUGUUUUCUUUGUUGACAAUUCUCUUCACCAGACAGAAGUUUAUUUUAUUUAGAUGAAUGAUUUUUUUUUGGAUUCUCAUGGACAUUUUAUCAAUUCUGGGUUCAAGAACUCUUUAUAAGUCUCUGCUUGCUCUAAAACAAUAAAUAAAGUUAUUGUUUUCUU